Molecule: small RNA, 271 nt
Filed under: Bos taurus (domestic cattle)
Lineage: Eukaryota; Metazoa; Chordata; Mammalia; Artiodactyla; Bovidae
Source: RNAcentral
CCUAAGAUGGCAGAGGAAUAAGAUGGGGAGACCGCAUUCUCCCCAACACAUUCAUCAAAUGAUCAUUUGAACGCUGAGCAACUUCCACAAAACAAUUUCUGAAUGCUGGCAGAGGACACCAGGUACCCAGAUAGGCUGCUCAUUGUCUUUGAAAGGAGACCAAAGAUUGAGCAAAUACCAAAGCAGAACUAGCCGGCUGUCUCCAGGCCCCUCCCCCAACAAGAGGCAGACAGCCAUGUGUGUGGCAGCCAGAAUCAGAAGGCAAGGGGCG